AGAGUUUGAUCAUGGCUCAGAUUGAACGCUGGCGGCAGGCCUAACACAUGCAAGUCGAACGGUAACAGGAAGCAGCUUGCUGCUUUGCUGACGAGUGGCGGACGGGUGAGUAAUGUCUGGGAAACUGCCUGAUGGAGGGGGAUAACUACUGGAAACGGUAGCUAAUACCGCAUAACGUCGCAAGACCAAAGAGGGGGACCUUCGGGCCUCUUGCCAUCGGAUGUGCCCAGAUGGGAUUAGCUAGUAGGUGGGGUAACGGCUCACCUAGGCGACGAUCCCUAGCUGGUCUGAGAGGAUGACCAGCCACACUGGAACUGAGACACGGUCCAGACUCCUACGGGAGGCAGCAGUGGGGAAUAUUGCACAAUGGGCGCAAGCCUGAUGCAGCCAUGCCGCGUGUAUGAAGAAGGCCUUCGGGUUGUAAAGUACUUUCAGCGGGGAGGAAGGGAGUAAAGUUAAUACCUUUGCUCAUUGACGUUACCCGCAGAAGAAGCACCGGCUAACUCCGUGCCAGCAGCCGCGGUAAUACGGAGGGUGCAAGCGUUAAUCGGAAUUACUGGGCGUAAAGCGCACGCAGGCGGUUUGUUAAGUCAGAUGUGAAAUCCCCGGGCUCAACCUGGGAACUGCAUCUGAUACUGGCAAGCUUGAGUCUCGUAGAGGGGGUAGAAUUCCAGGUGUAGCGGUGAAAUGCGUAGAGAUCUGGAAGAAUACCGGUGGCGAAGGCGGCCCCCUGGACGAAGACUGACGCUCAGGUGCGAAAGCGUGGGGAGCAAACAGGAUUAGAUACCCUGGUAGUCCACGCCGUAAACGAUGUCGACUUGGAGGUUGUGCCCUUGAGGCGUGGCUUCCGGAGCUAACGCGUUAAGUCGACCGCCUGGGGAGUACGGCCGCAAGGUUAAAACUCAAAUGAAUUGACGGGGGCCCGCACAAGCGGUGGAGCAUGUGGUUUAAUUCGAUGCAACGCGAAGAACCUUACCUGGUCUUGACAUCCACGGAAGUUUUCAGAGAUGAGAAUGUGCCUUCGGGAACCGUGAGACAGGUGCUGCAUGGCUGUCGUCAGCUCGUGUUGUGAAAUGUUGGGUUAAGUCCCGCAACGAGCGCAACCCUUAUCCUUUGUUGCCAGCGGUCCGGCCGGGAACUCAAAGGAGACUGCCAGUGAUAAAACUGGAGGAAGGUGGGGAUGACGUCAAGUCAUCAUGGCCCUUACGACCAGGGCUACACACGUGCUACAAUGGCGCAUACAAAGAGAAGCGACCUCGCGAGAGCAAGCGGACCUCAUAAAGUGCGUCGUAGUCCGGAUUGGAGUCUGCAACUCGACUCCAUGAAGUCGGAAUCGCUAGUAAUCGUGGAUCAGAAUGCCACGGUGAAUACGUUCCCGGGCCUUGUACACACCGCCCGUCACACCAUGGGAGUGGGUUGCAAAAGAAGUAGGUAGCUUAACCUUCGGGAGGGCGCUUACCACUUUGUGAUUCAUGACUGGGGUGAAGUCGUAACAAGGUAACCGUAGGGGAACCUGCGGUUGGAUCACCU
Molecule: ribosomal RNA, 1530 nt
Filed under: Escherichia coli DEC1D
Lineage: Bacteria; Pseudomonadati; Pseudomonadota; Gammaproteobacteria; Enterobacterales; Enterobacteriaceae
Description: bacterial SSU rRNA
Rfam family: Bacterial small subunit ribosomal RNA
Source: RNAcentral